GUGAAGGUGAGGGUAUCUCUUGCUUGUAAUUUCUGCUUACUGGAGUCCUUCCAAAGCAUUACAUGUUUUCUUAUGGUAUUGGUGGUCGUUUUAACAAGAGCUCAGCACGAAGACCAGUUUUGGCUUGGAAAGUUAUCUGUUUAAUUUCAGUGUUAUGGACCAGGACCCUUAGUCCCUCAUGAGAUGGGAGCAAACUGCAAAUUUUGGAUCAAGACGUCUUUUGCACCCAUAAAAUUUGGGGAUGUCUACAUCAGGGGAUUUUGAUUCAGCUGGCUCUUGGAAGGGGCGAUUCAGCUCAGAUUUGGCUUACGUUCCAGUCUGCACAAAAUACAGAGGGAAUUUGCACAUGAGCUUCUGUUUCCAAGUAGGAUAACGCAUAAAAGAAGCGGCUCAGAAGGUGCUAUUAUACUCUAGAUGCAACGAGCUCUGCAGUUGGUGGUGACAGCAGUUACCUGACGGAAUGCCAUCUUGACAGUCCACAGAAAAGGAAGCUGCAGAGCCCAGCAUCUUUCCUGGCCUGGGGAAACAGUGGAAGUGAGAGCUCAUGGGUGCUGGUUACCCAGGAAGCACAGAUAAUUAGAUAGGUAGCUGCAAGAGGCUGUAUUGUAGAUUAAUCAUGGGAUUUAAGCAACUUUGGUCAUCUGCCUCCAUAAUCCAGAUGCCCAGAAGCUCUCACUUGGAGACUGCAAGUCCUGCAGACUCUCCAGUGGUAUCAGCACAUGCAGGUGUUGGUGUAAACACAAACACACUUACAUUGUUUGUAAGCAUGUGCCCAGGAUCAUGCAGUCUCAUAAAGGCAAGCUGUUAUCACCUCAGUUUCAACAAAUACCACAAAUCAAGAGGCUUAAAGUGUUUUUUAAUGUGUUCUGUUAGCAAGGCUACAGCCAACUGUCCUCCUUGACUAUAUAAUUCUAAGUACUUUGACCAAAACAGGUAUGAUACAUAAAUUUAAAUAAAUCCUUCC
Long non-coding RNA from Gallus gallus (chicken), 964 nucleotides. The record is from Ensembl. Lineage: Eukaryota; Metazoa; Chordata; Aves; Galliformes; Phasianidae.